This 174-nucleotide ribosomal RNA is filed under the name uncultured Geobacter sp. RNAcentral's name for it is "partial 16S ribosomal RNA". It matches the Rfam family "Bacterial small subunit ribosomal RNA", at positions 335 to 524 of the family's 1533-position model. The record is from RNAcentral. Lineage: Bacteria; Pseudomonadati; Thermodesulfobacteriota; Desulfuromonadia; Geobacterales; Geobacteraceae.
ACUCCUACGGGAGGCAGCAGCGAGGAAUCUUGGGCAAUGGGCGAAAGCCUGACCCAGCGACGCCGCGUGAGGGAUGAAGGCCUUCGGGUCGUAAACCUCUUUUGUGAGGGAAGAAGUUCUGACGGUACCUCACGAAUAAGCCACGGCUAACUACGUGCCAGCAGCCGCGGUAAU